Molecule: long non-coding RNA, 272 nt
Organism: Suncus etruscus (white-toothed pygmy shrew)
Lineage: Eukaryota; Metazoa; Chordata; Mammalia; Eulipotyphla; Soricidae
Exons: 3
Source: RefSeq, a predicted model, not a curated record
GGACUCUGCAUGAUCUGUCUCCAGAAGAGGCCUAAGAGAGAAUCAUGGGGACCCUCAGCAUGUGAGCAUGUGAUCUGGCAUGUACAAUCGCAAAGGCAGUUUCUCCAAACAUCUCUGUCCGAAGAAUCCGUUUGGACAUCUGGAGAAGGAAAAGGGGAAAAAUCACAGAACAAACUGGCAUCAUCCGCGAGGCUCAGGGCUGGAGUCUUGUUCUGUCAUCAUCCCCUGAACCAGUCCCCAAGAGUCACGCACCAAGCGUGCGCCACAAAAAC